AGGGCUAUCAAACACAAAUGACCUUGGGGCCACUGAGCAUCUAGUCUGGCCACUAUUUCUUGUGUUAUUCGUGUGUAACGGUAUUUGCUUUCGCUGUAGGAUUUUGUAAAGGAAACUCAAAGUUGGGAACAAAACAGAGCAAGAAAGGCUUCUCACAAAUAUACGCUCAAUACAACUUCACGGUCGAAGCAGGACAACUAUGUCAGACUCAACUUUAACGUCGCUGUCACGUGACAGUAAUAUGUCCUCGGUUAUCGUCAUGGCUGCUGCACCAAAGCCUGUCUUCUUGCUCGGUAAUGACACCCUGAGGGUGUCUGCUGCCCUUUUUUUUUCUGAAAACCGACAAAGCCUGUGCAAAGGGCUGAAAGCCAAUGAUGGAGUAAAGCCAAAGUCAGCAGUGGUGCUGCAGGGAGGGGAGUAGAAGCAGAGGCACAGACACAGACCUCCUUUUUCAGGCAGCCAUUUGUGUGUUGAUGUUCCACAUGUCCUGGUUCAUCUCCUCUCUUGAUCUGGAAAGACAAGCCUGUCCAGGUACAGUAUCUUAAACCCUGCAUUCAAUUUGAAACCCCAGUGUGAAUCAAAAACACUGUAUCCCUUUUUUCUGAUAGUUUCUCAGCAGCUAUGGUUACCUUAAGCUCAAAAACAAAAAAAUCAGAUAAACUGAGCUUCUGCAGUGACUGACCACAGACUGUUGAGGAAGACACGUUUUG
This is a long non-coding RNA of Solea solea (common sole), 710 nucleotides long. RefSeq lists it as uncharacterized. The record is from RefSeq and is a predicted model, not a curated record. Lineage: Eukaryota; Metazoa; Chordata; Actinopteri; Pleuronectiformes; Soleidae. The transcript is spliced from 3 exons.